Molecule: ribosomal RNA, 317 nt
Filed under: uncultured eukaryote
Lineage: Eukaryota
Description: partial 18S ribosomal RNA
Rfam family: Eukaryotic small subunit ribosomal RNA
Source: RNAcentral
CCCUUCGAUGUUCGGAGCUGCACGCGCGCUACACUGUGGGUGGCAGCAUGUUAGCUUGCCUCGCUCGCAAGAGUGGGGUAAUCGUUUGAAAAUCCCACGUGAUUGGGAUAGGGACUUGUAAUUAUUUCCCUUGAACGAGGAAUCCCUAGUAAGUGCAGGUCAUCAGCUUGCGCUGAUUACGUCCCUGCCCUUUGUACACACCGCCCGUCGCACCUACCGAUUGAAUGGUCCGGUGAAGCCUCCGGAUUGGCGCGCACCUCGGUGCCGCCGAGAAGUUGGCUAAACCUUACCAUUUAGAGGAAGGUGAAGUCGUAACA